RNAcentral lists this ribosomal RNA (253 nucleotides) under uncultured bacterium. RNAcentral's name for it is "partial 16S ribosomal RNA". It matches the Rfam family "Bacterial small subunit ribosomal RNA", at positions 524 to 776 of the family's 1533-position model. The record is from RNAcentral.
UACGAGGGGUGCAAGCGUUGCUCGGAAUUAUUGGGCGUAAAGGGCAAGUAGGUGGUCUCAUUUGUCUGGGGUGAAAGCCUUGAGCUUAACUCAAGAAGUGCCCCGGAAACGGUGAGACUCGAGUAUUGGAGAGGGUCGUGGAAUUCCCGGUGUAGCGGUGAAAUGCGUAGAGAUCGGGAGGAACAUCAGUGGCGAAGGCGGCCAUCUGGGACAACACUGACGCUGAGGCACGAAAGCGUGGGGAGCAAACAGG